RNAcentral lists this long non-coding RNA (2973 nucleotides) under Homo sapiens (human). RNAcentral describes it as "HSALNT0377718". The record is from RNAcentral. Lineage: Eukaryota; Metazoa; Chordata; Mammalia; Primates; Hominidae.
CCCUCUAUCCCGCCUCAUUGACCCCUGGACAACCCUGAAAUAUCAUCGUCAGCAUUAUUUCAUCGGAAAGAAGGGCAGCAAGAGAGGCCGGAUGAUUCUCCCAAGGCCACACAGCUAAUUAGUGGGCAGAGCCCAGUCUAGAAGCCAUCUCACCAUCUGACACCUUUCGACAAAGUGCAAAACGCGGUGGUGAGAGACGAGGACACAGACAUUAAGAUUCCGCUCCAGCCCUAGAGGCACUGAGAAUCAGAACGUGAACUACUCUUCACUCCAGGCAGAAAGCAAGAGGCUUGGAUGAGUUUUAGGAAACCAGCACAGUGUCGGGCACAGAGCGCUCAAUGAAUAGAUGUGUAACAACAAAGUAGGGAUCCAACAGAGGAAGAAAUAAUUUAUUGUAAGGUGGCCUUUGGGAAAGCUCUCAGAAAGGUGGAUGAAUCACUUAAGAGGAAUCAUGGGGCAGAUCCAGCGGUGCCAUUUGUGGGAGGCCAGGAAAGACCUUGCUCCUUGGGAAUCAGGCUCCACAGGCCUCUCAGGUCAACCAAGAAAAUGAAUGGACUCCAGCAGCAUCACAGAAUCAAAGCAACACCUAAGGAAUUCACUGUUUCUUCACAUACUUUGAACUGUGAAAACAAGAGUCAUCAUAAUAGCUGCAGUUUACUCAGUACCUACCAGGUACUGUCACCUAUACUGUCUCUAAAGCCCCUACAACCCUGAGCUAAGGAUGAUCAUAUCCCCAACUGCAGAUGAUGACACUGAAGCUCAACGGCUACUCAACUUGCCUGGAAUCCUACAGCAAUUAACAAAAACCAGCAUCACGCUCAAGGUUUUGUGAACUUAUCAGUUCCCUUAUUUCAACUCCUGGUCCUGUUGGAAAAAGUGACAGUUGGGAGGCAGAACUGCGCAUGGUAGCCCAGAGCUCUUACCAUCUGAGCCACGUGCCCAUUCAUUUCUCAUUUCAGAAUACUGCAUUGUGUCACAAGAAUUCAACUAUGUACUCAUGGAGAAGGAGGGAGAAAGCAAGGAAGGAAAAAAGAGAAAAGUAAUUUACAUAGUAACAGCAAUUCUGCUCAACAUUCCAUUCAGUGAGCCGAUACCCUGGAGUGCAGAAACUGUUAUGAAUGUACUCCACCAAGGCAAGAAAGGAAGAAGACAUGGAAUUUAAAAAACAGAGGAUCUACUAUGAAAGAGAAAGGUGAAGGGAAUUCCAGGCUGAUGGUAAAUGCAAAUUCCAGGAUGAGAGUUGGGCAGCAGGCCUAGAGUGCACUCCGUCCUGGGAGGAGCCAGAUGAUAGAGGGCUCUAGGAGAGAAGGCUCCAAGGGAAAAUGAAACAAGAGGAGGAGAAGAAACAGGCUUACGCUGAGCGAAUCCAAUGUGCAGACAGACACACAGGGAAGGUGACCAUUUGAAGACGGAGGCAGAAACUGAAGUUGUGCAACUGCAAACCAAGAAAUGCCAUGGAUUGCCAACAACCACCAGGAACUAGAAGAGGCAAGGUAAGGUUCAGCAAAGUCUAUGUCAUUCUCUAAUCCUUUUGAUCCAGCGGAUUCUUUGGAGGAAUUUGAAUACAUAUUGGAUUUUGCAUCCAGGUUUGCAAGAGGAAAAUACAAAGGUGACUUCUGGGCCUGCUGGAGGUGGAGGGUAGAGGAUGGACAGCUGACAUCUAGUCACAGAGGAAAGAACACAGAAAGAGAUCUCCAGUUAAAGCUGAUAGAUUGAACCACAGACAACCCACCUCCUUCUAAAAUCCCUCUAGAACAAUGGUUUAAAAAAAGUGCUUUAACAUAAAACUUCAAAAUCAAAAAGAUAAGGAAAAUGAUGAAAACCACUCAGAUAAGAAGAGAGGAUAUUUAUGCAGAGGCUGCUGUCGUUGGGAGUCCGCCACCAUACCACUAUACUUUGGUGAGACUUGAAGGCAGGCAGGGAGUGGAAACACUUUAUGCUGUAGUGAAAAAAGGGGAAGGCUUCGGUAUGCUCUGACUGGAGAUCAUUGUCAUGGGGAAACUGCAGGUGGGCUAACUAGAGGCUGGGCUUCUUGUGUAAUGGUUUGGCUUUCUCUGGUUGGUCCUGUGUUGAAAAUAGGGGCAAAAUAUAGGGAAGCUGACUCAUUGACCAAGCCCUGCCCAGGCUGGCCAAUUGCAGAGGUUGUGGGUCAGAGUUCUAUUGUCAUAUAUGGUCUGGCUACUGUCUGUUUAUAUAAUCCGUCUCUCAGAGAACAGUAGAGGAGAUCAAAUUAUUAACAUUUUGGAAGCUGGAAAGCAGGAGGAUAGUGUGAGCUGAAUUAGCAGACUUGCCAUCUAUCAAAGGGGAUAGCCAAAAGCAAGCCAGAUUUGCCCCAGAGAACCACCAAAGGUUCAAGAAUUGGCAGCACCAGGUACCCCCAGAAGCAGGGAUAAAGUGGGGGCUGAAAUUGGACAGUUGGUUCAAAGUCUAUUUCAGAAGCAUUAGACCACUGGAUUUCUUCCCCAGCUCCCAAAUGACUGCCUGGUGCAAAAGACUCAGGAUUGAUUCCCUGGAGAGGGUAGGUAGUUCUUUGUCUAGUUAAGGAUGGGAUGCCAUAACAAACAUGCCAAUUCAGUGAAAGUACCUACUUUCAAGACUCCUGCUUAACUCCCCUAAAUCAGCAGCCAAUGUUAGAAGCCAAGUGUUAAAGUUUUUCAGAUAAUUUUGCUAUAAGCCUAUGGAGAAAUUUCAUUACCAUCUCAUAGCAAGGCCUAUAGUAUAAGAGCAGGCCUAUAGUAGCAUAUGGGGGAAAGUCUAAAAGACUUUGAAAUGGACCAAAAGAUUAUUGAGAAAUGGAAAACUGCAUUGUUUUAAGUAUCCCUUUCCAACUUAUCAGAUUCUGUGGGGUUUAUACCUUUCAUUGUCUUUGAGGUAUUUAACAAUUCUAAAGAGAUAGACUCUAACUUGUAGAAAACUAAGAGUAACAUAAAUAAUUAUCGUCUUUAGAUAUACAAAUAAAUUCUGUUCUGAGAA